Molecule: long non-coding RNA, 703 nt
Filed under: Homo sapiens (human)
Lineage: Eukaryota; Metazoa; Chordata; Mammalia; Primates; Hominidae
Description: non-protein coding lnc-CDYL-7:1
Source: RNAcentral
AUAAGUGCUCCUUUGUUCUCUGAAGCCCAGGGUCUAGCUUCCACACACUCUUGGAACAUUUCUUGGUUACAGUGAUAUUCUCAAAAAGAGGGCAUACCUAUCUACUCCAUAUCUGGCCUUGACCCUUGUCAGAAGAAUCUGCCAUGUGGCCUCUAGUCAAUCCAACAGCUGCAAGGACCCCACAAAGUGAUCCCAAGCCAGCCUCCUCCUGUGGGGUACGACCAAAGGAAUCGCAUCUGGCAGUGUUGUCCCCCUCCGUGUCUCCCUCUGGGAAACCAUUAGGAGUGUCCGUGGCUAUCAAAGGCUUUUCAUUGUAUUGCAGCCUCUCAGUCGGCAGCCCCAGGAAAACCCCUCCACCAACACUCACAGCUGGUCACUCUGUAUUACGUAGAACACAGGUUCUGGGUUUGAAUCUUGACUCCAGCUACUCAUCAGCCACCCUGAGGUUACUCAGUCUCUCUGGGCCUUGUUUCAAAGACGGGGUGAAAGACAUACCUUAUGUUACAGAGUCCAAGGUUGAGAACCCUAUAAUCUCCCCUCUCAAGUACCCAGCAGCCCCCAGAGACGAGAGGAAGCCAGGCCUAUCUCCCAGAGCUGGAAACCAAUUGUCCUUUUCCUGCCUGGAGACCCCCACUCCAGAGACAAAAAGGCACUCAAAGCCCCUAGCAUAAUGUGCCUUGCCUAGGCCAUUCUUGUAAGGGAG